AAGUCGUAACAAGGUUUCCGUAGGUGAACCUGCGGAAGGAUCAUUACAGUAGUCACCCGGGUUGCCGCAAGGCCUCCCGGGUAACCUACCACCCUUUGUUUAUUACACUUUGUUGCUUUGGCAGGCCUGCCCUCGGGCUGCUGGCUCCGGCCGGCGAGCGUCUGCCAGAGGACCUAAACUCUGUUUGUCUAUACUGUCUGAGUACUAUAUAAUAGUUAAAACUUUCAACAACGGAUCUCUUGGUUCUGGCAUCGAUGAAGAACGCAGCGAAAUGCGAUAAGUAAUGUGAAUUGCAGAAUUCAGUGAAUCAUCGAAUCUUUGAACGCACAUUGCGCCCGCUAGUAUUCUAGCGGGCAUGCCUGUUCGAGCGUCAUUUCAGCCCUCAAGCACUGCUUGGUGUUGGGGUCCUACGGCUGCCGUAGACCCUGAAAGAAAGUGGCGGGCUCGCUGCAACUCCGAGCGUAGUAGAAUCCUAUCUCGCUAGGGAGGUGCGGCGUGUCCCGGCCGUUAAAGUCCCAUCUUUAACCCAAGGUUGACCUCGGAUCAGGUAGGAAUACCCGCUGAACUUAA
This 570-nucleotide ribosomal RNA is filed under the name Leotiomycetes sp. S-29. Its description in RNAcentral is "eukaryotic LSU rRNA". The stretch from base 220 to 373 matches the Rfam family "5.8S ribosomal RNA". The record is from RNAcentral. Lineage: Eukaryota; Fungi; Ascomycota; Leotiomycetes.